GACGAACGCUGGCGGCGUGCUUAACACAUGCCAGUCGAACGGAAAGGCCCUGCUUUUGUGGGGUGCUCGAGUGGCGAACGGGUGAGUAACACGUGAGUAACCUGCCCUUGACUUUGGGAUAACUUCAGGAAACUGGGGCUACUACCGGAUAGGCGCUCCUGCUGCAUGGUGGGGGUUGGAAAGUUUCGGCGGUUGGGGAUGGACUCGCGGCUUAUCAGCUUGUUGGUGGGGUAGUGGCUUACCAAGGCUUUGACGGGUAGCCGGCCUGAGAGGGUGACCGGCCACAUUGGGACUGAGAUACGGCCCAGACUCCUACGGGAGGCAGCAGUGGGGAAUAUUGCACAAUGGGCGGAAUCCUGAUGCAGCAACGCCGCGUGCGGGAUGACGGCCUUCGGGUUGUAAACCGCUUUCGCCUGUGACGAAGCGUGAGUGACGGUAAUGGGUAAAGAAGCACCGGCUAACUACGUG
RNAcentral lists this ribosomal RNA (468 nucleotides) under uncultured bacterium. RNAcentral's name for it is "partial 16S ribosomal RNA". It matches the Rfam family "Bacterial small subunit ribosomal RNA", at positions 28 to 507 of the family's 1533-position model. The record is from RNAcentral.